This 457-nucleotide ribosomal RNA is filed under the name uncultured Defluviitaleaceae bacterium. RNAcentral describes it as "bacterial SSU rRNA". It matches the Rfam family "Bacterial small subunit ribosomal RNA", at positions 341 to 814 of the family's 1533-position model. The record is from RNAcentral. Lineage: Bacteria; Bacillati; Bacillota; Clostridia; Lachnospirales; Defluviitaleaceae.
ACGGGAGGCAGCAGUGGGGAAUAUUGCACAAUGGGGGAAACCCUGAUGCAGCAACGCCGCGUGAAGGAAGAAGGUUUUCGGAUUGUAAACUUCUAUCGACAGGGACGAAGAAAGUGACGGUACCUGAAUAAGAAGCCCCGGCUAACUACGUGCCAGCAGCCGCGGUAAUACGUAGGGGGCAAGCGUUAUCCGGAAUUACUGGGUGUAAAGGGAGCGUAGGCGGCAUGGUAAGCCAGAUGUGAAAGCCCGGGGCUUAACUCCGAGGAUUGCAUUUGGAACUAUCAAGCUAGAGUACAGGAGAGGAAAGCGGAAUUCCUAGUGUAGCGGUGAAAUGCGUAGAUAUUAGGAAGAACACCAGUGGCGAAGGCGGCUUUCUGGACUGAAACUGACGCUGAGGCUCGAAAGCGUGGGGAGCAAACAGGAUUAGAUACCCUGGUAAGAUCGGAAGACCCUGGUA